CUGAAUGGAAUAGGAGUCAUUCCCUCAACAGAGGAAAUGCAGCUCCCACCCAGAGUGGAGGGGAUGAGAUUUGCCCGUGGACAUGUCUACAAUGAUAAUGGUUCCAGGAGCUCUGCUGAGCCCUUGUGUGCCUCAUUGAAUCCCAUGAGAUCAACACAUUAUCACCCCCAUUUUACAGAUGAAGAUGUCAAGGCUUAAAGAGCUAAAGCACAAGAGACUCAUAUAUAGGCUGUACCUUCUGCCCAUGGCUGUGGGGAACCAGGACUGCAGAGGAAGCAUGUGAGUGAAGCCACCGGAAGCAAGCAAAUGGAACAAAACCAGCACCACGACCACCACCACCACCACCACCACCAUCACCACCAUCACCACAAUACAAAUACUCUCUUUGAUUGGUCCUCUGGGUAGAUAAAAU
RNAcentral lists this long non-coding RNA (412 nucleotides) under Homo sapiens (human). RNAcentral's name for it is "HSALNT0272854". Lineage: Eukaryota; Metazoa; Chordata; Mammalia; Primates; Hominidae. The record is from RNAcentral.